This 811-nucleotide long non-coding RNA is filed under the name Phascolarctos cinereus (koala). Its description in RNAcentral is "lncRNA (ENSPCIG00000034136.1)". The record is from RNAcentral. Lineage: Eukaryota; Metazoa; Chordata; Mammalia; Diprotodontia; Phascolarctidae.
AUGCCACUCAGAGAGACUAAUAGGCCUCUUUCAGUGAGUAAAAUCUGGAGAAAAUUCACUGAGAUGAAGACUUUCCAAAAUGAAAGCUCUGAGCCUGGGCAGAUCCUGAAGCCCCAGGCUGGUCUCCUGAGAACUCCCUUACCUGAGACCCCAGCAAAGCAUGGGACCAAGAGCACGGAAGAAGGAACUGCCUCAACAGCUUUGACAACGCACUGCCAUCUGUCUUGACUCUAUGUGAUGCAAAAUGCUUCCUGGAGAGACGAAGCUAAAGAGAAUGGCAGAGUGUUACAGGCAGAAUGAGAAAUGGCCCUUAGCUGGGCGUGAUGAAGAGGAGCCCUGCAUGUGAAAUAUUGCUGCUGUCACCAGGAGAGAGCUGCAGUGAAUAUGUAGGCAGUUUGUCAUUGGGAGAAUUGAUUCAGCCCUCUCUAGGGCUCCACGCUCAACGAAAACAACUGGUAGCGACCAUUUCUCUACCUCUGUCUGCUGCUGGCUAGCUGUGCCACCUUGGGUGAGGCCAUCGCUUAGGACUCAGUUUCUUCUUAUGUCAAAAAGGGGUGCUGGAUUAAAUUAUUUCUGAAGUCCUUCUCUGGCUGACAUUGCGUCUUCCUAUCCUCCCAGCUCUGACCUUCCCUGUCCUAAGGCCCCUCCCGGCCCUGACAUCUCCUGUCCUAAGGCCCCUCCCAGCCCUGAGACACCCUGUUCUAAGGCCCCUCCCAGCUCUGACAUUCCCUAGGACCCUCCCAGAUCUAACAUUCUAAGCUUUAUAGUCCCUUCUAUCUGUAACAUUCUACAUGUGUCAGACUAAGUCCUA